CCUACGGGGGGCAGCAGUGAGGAAUAUUGGUCAAUGGCCGGAAGGCUGAACCAGCCAUGCCGCGUGAAGGUCAGUGCCCUAUCGGCGUUAAACUUCUUUUGUGCGGGAGCAAUAAUGGUCACGUGUGGCCCGACUAGAGUACCGUACGAAUAAGCAUCGGCUUACUCCGUUCCAGCAACCGCGGUAAUACGGGGGAUGCAAGCGUUGUCCGGAUUUACUGGGGGUAAAGGGCGUGUAGCCGGGAAGGCAAGUCAGAUGUGAAAUCUGGAGGCUCAACCUCCAAAUUGCAUUUGAAACUGUUGGUCUGGAGUACGGGAGAGGCAGACGGAAUUCCUGGUGUAGCGGUGAAAUGCGUAGAUAUAAGGAGGAACACCAGUGGCGAAGGCGGUCUGCUGGACAGCAACUGACGGUGAGGCGCGAAAGCGUGGGGAGCAAACAGGAUUAGAUACCCGUGUAGUC
This 459-nucleotide ribosomal RNA is filed under the name uncultured bacterium. Its description in RNAcentral is "partial 16S ribosomal RNA". It matches the Rfam family "Bacterial small subunit ribosomal RNA", at positions 338 to 795 of the family's 1533-position model. The record is from RNAcentral.